CACUGAGGAACAGUUAGUGUGAAGGUUCUGGAAAGGGACCUUGCGCCACGCUGUGUAGGAACUACUAAGCGUCGGUCGUUAACCGUUCGCAGAUUGCGUGAGGGAACGUACGCCUUCAGGAGAGAGUUGAGGUAGGAGGGAGCUGUUCCAGACAAGGUCUUGUAGGUGAGCAUCAAGGCCUUGAAUUUGAUGCGGGCGGAUACAGGAAGUCAGUGGAGGGAGAUGAAGACGGGUGUGACUUGGGUUCUCUCGGGCUGGUUGAAGACGAGGCGUGCUGCUGCAUUCUGAAUCAUCUGAAGGGGUUUGAUGGAGCUGCCGGGAGGCCCGAGAGUAGUGAGUUGCAGUAGUCCAGUUUUAAUAUGACAAGAGCCUGGACUAGUAUCUGUGUAGCCAACAUCGAAGAACAUCGUUAUCACCUAUGAUAAAAAAAAAUAGGUUGUGCUUUUGCAUAUGCAUGUGCUCGUCUUUUUAUUGUGUGUAUCUCUGCGAGAACAAAAAACUUCGAUGUCUUCUAUACAUAAGGCUUACAAACUUUUUUUAAGGCAGAGCUCCACCCAAUGAAAUGGUGGCCUUUCCAGCAGGCAGGAGCCCAGAACUCAGCCAAAUAAAAGUCUCUCCAGGGUACAAAAGAUCUUUGCACUGCUUUUACGUGAACUCCACCUAACAUUUCCCAUCGUCCGACAAAGUUCCAUGACAUCAAUGUUAAGAGUUCUUUACUGCUUGGAAAUUGGACAUUUUGCCAAAAUUCCUGAAGACCGGAGACAAGUCGAGUCGGGAAACGGGACUGAUUAGAAACACAGCAGAGACGGUGGCUUCCGCGCGUCUGCUCUCGCUAGAGAGAGAGAGAACUGAUUUUCAGUGUGCAGUAAUUUCACAGUGUCUCAGUACUUGAACAUGAAUGCACACCUUAUAUACUCACAAACAAAGCAAUGUAGACCGCAUCACUUUUAAAUUCUUGAUUUUGAUUGGUCAGAACGUCAGUGGGUCAUACUUAGCCAUUUCUGUAGUAAGAGCUUAUACAAGGACAUCAAAUCUAGAGUCACUCUAAUUGAGGGUCAGAGAAAGUAUACCAUGUAGAAAAAAGUCUGUGUUGGAAUAUAAGCUGCUAUAAAUGUUCAUAAAGGGCUUAUGUAGGUGUCAUUUUGGAACAAGAGAUGUUAUUAAAUGUUUAUGAAGGGCUUAUGUAGGUGUCAUGUUGGAACAAGAGAUGUUAUUAAAUGUUUAUAAAAUGCAUAGGUAGUCAUGUUGGAACAAGAGAUAUUAAAUGUUUAUAAAGGGCUUAUGUAGUGUCAUGUUGGAACAAGAGAUGUUAUUAAAUGUUUAUCAAACGCAUAUGUAGUCAUGCUGGAACAAGAGAUGUUAUUAAAAGUUUAUAAAGGGCUUAUGUAGGUGUCGUGUUGGAACAAGAGAUGUUAUCAAAUGUUUAUAAAGGGCUUAUGUAGUGUCAUGUUGGAAGAAGAGAUGUUAUUAAAUGUUCAUAAAGGGCUUAUGUAGUGUCAUGUUGGAACAAGAGAUGUUAUUAAAUGUUCAUAAAGGGCUUAUGUAGUGUCAUGUUGGAACAAGAGAUGUUAUCAAAUGUUUAUAAAACGCAUAUGUAGUCAUGCUGGAACAAAAGAUGUUAUCAAAUGUUUAUAAAGGGCUUAUGUAGUGUCAUGUUGCAACAAGAGAUGUUAUCAAAUGUUUAUAAAGGGCUUAUGUAGGUGUCAUUUUGGAACAAGAGGAGUUAUUAAAUGUUUAUAAAGGGCUUAUGUAGGUGUCAUUUUGGAACAAGAGGAGUUAUUAAAUGCUUAUAAAGGGCUUAUGUAGGUGUCAUGUUGCAACAAGAGAUGUUAUCAAAUGCUUAUAAAGGGCUUAUGUAGUGUCAUGUUGCAACAAGAGGAGUUAUUAAAUGCUUAUAAAGGGCUUAUGUAGGUGUCAUGUUGCAACAAGAGAUGUUAUCAAAUGUUUAUAAAGGGCUUAUGUAGUGUCAUGUUGGAACAAGAGAUGUUAUCAAAUGUUUAUAAAGGGCUUAUGUAGGUGUCAAGUUGGAACAAGAGAUGUUAACAAAUGUUUAUAAAGGGCUUAUGUAGUGUCAUGUUGCAAAAAGAGAUGUUAUUAAAUGUUUAUAAAGGGCUUAUGUAGUGUCAUGUUGCAACAAGAGAUGUUAUCAAAUGUUUAUAAAGGGCUUAUGUAGUGUCAUGUUGCAACAAGAGAUGUUAUUAAAUGUUCAUAAAGGGCUUAUGUCGGUGUCACAUUUCUUUGUCCUUUGCUAAAUGAAUAAGAAUAAUAACAAAAGGAAUAAUUCAUGAACGUAACUAUAUACAGAUAUAUGUAUGCUCCAGUUUCCUGAGUGUAAGAGUGACUACCCGGGCUCGUGAGCAAUUGCUGACUGAAUAAAAUACUUACGUGCACAUUCAAGUCUUGGUAGUGAUUUCUCAUUCUACAGGUGAAUUUCCACUCCACUUCGGUUUGAGACGAA
Molecule: long non-coding RNA, 2458 nt
Organism: Ictalurus punctatus (channel catfish)
Lineage: Eukaryota; Metazoa; Chordata; Actinopteri; Siluriformes; Ictaluridae
Source: Ensembl